Non-coding RNA from Xyrichtys novacula (pearly razorfish), 306 nucleotides. Lineage: Eukaryota; Metazoa; Chordata; Actinopteri; Labriformes; Labridae. The record is from the annotation of a GenBank genome assembly.
AUGUAAACAGACGCCGACACGUCCAGUCCUCCACAGAACCGACCCGGAUCAAACCCACUGAGUCUGCUCUGAUUCUGGGUCCACCUGGUUCUGUAGAACAUAAGGAGGAUAAUAACAAGUCUUCACAUCAGGGCAGAGAGAGUGAGAGGGAGGGGAGAGAGACAGAGAGAGAGAGGGAGGAGAGAGAGAGGGGGAGAGAGGGGGGGGGGGAGAGAGGGAGAGAGAGAGAGGGGGAGAGAGAGGGGGAGAGGGGGGGAGAGGGGGGAGAGAGAGAGAGAGAGAGAGAGAGAGAGAGAGAGAGAGAGA